Molecule: long non-coding RNA, 2690 nt
Organism: Oncorhynchus kisutch (coho salmon)
Lineage: Eukaryota; Metazoa; Chordata; Actinopteri; Salmoniformes; Salmonidae
Source: Ensembl
AACUGUGUCAUCCUCUGACAUAUGAUGUGGUUAGCUGAUACUUAAAAUACCUAUCAAGGCGAUGUAAGAUCUGGCAGACUUCAGCAACAUCUAAGCUUUGGAAAGUGGCUGAAGUCUGUUUGGACGCAAUCACAAUUGCUGGCAAAACGGCUGACCUGAUUGGUGAAAAGACCAAUUAGUGGGAAAAAGAUCAGAAUUUGGCAGCUACAGACGACUGAACAUGUAUGAAAUGUAAUAUGCGUUCAUCAAUUGUCUGUUUUUUUGUAAGUUGUUGAACUGAAUUUGGUCUCUUUCUUUUGUCGUCCAAUUCUCCCUCUGUUGUUCACCAUACGGCAACGGAUGACUGCACCUAAUCACAUUUGGGAAAUUGAACCAAUGGAAAUGAAGUUCAUUGGCUGACAGCUGUACAUAAUUAGCCAGCCAGGGUAGAAGGGUCUGGGAUUCCUUUAUGAGGUGCAACCAAAACAGCUGUUAGAAAUAGCAACCGGGAUAUUCUGGCAGGCUGUCGAGAAUUAGUUCUUGAAUACUGUUGUGGUUUUGAUCACUAAAAUGGCUGUGACUUUUGGACUCUCUUUGAGUGUUUCUUGGAUUUGUUGCCUGCUAAUUGGAGGGAUAACUUGUUUUACACUUAAAGGUAACGCUCAUGGGCAUCCUGCCUACACUGGACCUGAACCAACUGGAUCCUAUGCCCAAGCAAGUGUGGUGUCUGGUCCAAAUGCUAAAGCUACUGGCCACAAUGCCACGUCAGCAGAAGCUACUGGCCACAAUGCCACGUCAGCAGAAGCUACUGGCCACAAUGCCACGUCAGCAGAAGCUACUGGCCACAAUGCCACGUCAGCAGAAGCUACUGGCCACAAUGCCAUGUCAAGUGUAAAGUCCGGCCCCGGCGCCUCAGUAGAAGCAACAGGCCCCGGCGCCUCAGCAGAAGCAACAGGCCCCGGCGCCUCAGCGGUAGCGUCCGGCCCCGGCGCCUCAGCAGAAGCAACAGGCCCCGGCGCCUCAGCAGAAGCAACAGGCCCCGGCGCCUCAGCAGAAGCAACAGGCCCCGGCGCCUCAGCAGAAGCAACAGGCCCCGGCGCCUCAGCAGUAGCGUCCGGCCCCGGCGCCUCAGCAGUAGCGACAGGCCCCGGCGCCUCAGCAGAAGCGACAGGCCCCCGCGCCUCGUCAGCAGAAGCUACUGGCCACAAUGUCACGUCAGCAGAAGCUACUGGCCACAAUGCCACGUCAGCAGAAGCUACUGGCCACAAUGCCAUGUCAAGUGUAAAGUCCGGCCCCGGCGCCUCAGUGGUAGCGUCCGGCCCCGGCGCCUCAGUGGUAGCGUCCGGCCCCGGCGCCUCAGCGGAAGCAACAGGCCCCGGCGCCUCAGCAGAAGCGGCAGGCCCCGGCGCCUCAGCAGAAGCGACAAGCCUUGAACAGACGGCCCGACCACUCAACUAGGGAGAUCAUAAUUUGGUUUGGCCAACUCUUUAAUCGUCUUAUCCCUGUUACCUUUACCCUUUUCUGCAAGAGGCACAGUAACUGAGGUGGGGAAAUGUGUGAACUAAUGCACUUGUUUGAAAUGAGGAUCUCCUUCACUUGUACAUCGUCAUGCAAAUUGUAUACAGAGGUGGAUGAUACAAUGUUAUGAAUCGUUUUUAUAAACAUACGACUAAAUUGACUUCUGUAUGUAGCGAUAUUGCUGACACACUUUUAGGUUCUACGGUUAUGCUUUUGAUUUAGCCUGGUGUUCCUGCUACUCUUGCAUGAUUUGCUCAAUAAACCAUUUGACUUUCAAAAAACCUUGUCCUUAAAAUAUAAUCUCUUCUGCCUACCAUGUGCUUGCUGUUUGGUAACAGACUGUGGGCCUGGAGUAAAAGGGAAUUUGCGUUUUUGUUAUACACUUGUCUAAACAGAUUUGUUUCUGGUAGUUUGUUCUAAAGUUUUCUAACUUGUCAGAGCUCCCUCAUAUGUUCAUACACUACCUGUCCCUUAGUGUAGGCUGUUUGCUUUACAGUAAUCUGCCUUUUUCCACCAAUGCCUAAAGAAUGUGAAUGCAGUGUAACUCAUCGUCCCAUUACCUGUCACUAACCUGUCCCAGGGACGCUGAAGUUUCUCCUUGACCUUAUUCAGAAACAUUAAAUCAACUUGAUACAUUCUGACUGUUCUACAAUGUUGGUCUGGCCAGACACAUGGAUGCACUCAUAUGCGUUCAUUUAUUUCAGCUGUGAAAAGUACUCCACUUGAAGUCGUUCAGACAUUCCUUAUGUCAACUCUCAAUGUGGUCUUCUGCACAAUCCAUUUCUACCUGACCACAAUGAGGUUGCACUCGCAGAAGCCCCUGACAGGAACUUCAAUAGAUUUUAUAAAGGGGUUCUUAAGCUCUCACUUUGUACAACAUCUAGAGACAUAAAUAUGAAUUUGUUCUUAAGCCUGGCUGGUGACUUGCUUUUUUUGGUAUCAAGGUUUCCAACAAUUUCAAGAAACACUUAGCGUUCUGACAUUUUAGGACUGUCAAGCAACUAACCUCAGGGGGAAAAAAACAUCCUCACUGUCAGCUUUGUAAUUUUCAGCAAACUUGAUGGACAAAAAUGUGUAUGAACAUAAGAUUCAACAACAAACUGAACAAGUUCCACAAACAUGUGACUAACAAAUGGAAUAAUGUGUCCAGGAACAAAGGGGGGGUCAAAAGUAACUAUCUGUUGUGGACACCA